RNAcentral lists this ribosomal RNA (492 nucleotides) under uncultured bacterium. Its description in RNAcentral is "partial 16S ribosomal RNA". It matches the Rfam family "Bacterial small subunit ribosomal RNA", at positions 29 to 507 of the family's 1533-position model. The record is from RNAcentral.
AGUGAACGCUGGCGGUAGGCCUAACACAUGCAAGUCGAACGGCAGCACAGUAAGAGCUUGCUCUUACGGGUGGCGAGUGGCGGACGGGUGAGGAAUACAUCGGAAUCUACUUUUUCGUGGGGGAUAACGUAGGGAAACUUACGCUAAUACCGCAUACGACCUACGGGUAAAAGCAGGGGAUCUUCGGACCUUGCGCGAUUGAAUGAGCCGAUGUCGGAUUAGCUAGUUGGCGGGGUAAAGGCCCACCAAGGCGACGAUCCGUAGCUGGUCCGAGAGGAUGAUCAGCCACACUGGAACUGAGACACGGUCCAGACUCCUACGGGAGGCAGCAGUGGGGAAUAUUGGACAAUGGGCGCAAGCCUGAUCCAGCCAUACCGCGUGGGUGAAGAAGGCCUCCGGGUUGUAAAGCCCUUUUGUUGGGAAAGAAAAGCAGCAGGUUAAUACCCCGCUGUUCUGACGGUACCCAAAGAAUAAGCACCGGCUAACUUCGUG